AAGGGGUUGAUGUAAUGGUAGCAUAAGGGAUUCCAAAUCCUUUUGUAUGGGUUCAAGUCCUAUGCCCUUUGCCA
RNAcentral lists this transfer RNA (74 nucleotides) under Sulfurihydrogenibium sp. RNAcentral describes it as "tRNA-Trp". It matches the Rfam family "tRNA". Rfam says of the family: Transfer RNA (tRNA) molecules are approximately 80 nucleotides in length. Their secondary structure includes four short double-helical elements and three loops (D, anti-codon, and T loops). Lineage: Bacteria; Pseudomonadati; Aquificota; Aquificia; Aquificales; Hydrogenothermaceae. The record is from RNAcentral.